This 168-nucleotide ribosomal RNA is filed under the name Sigmops cf. longipinnis CBM:ZF:14719. RNAcentral's name for it is "partial 12S rRNA". The record is from RNAcentral. Lineage: Eukaryota; Metazoa; Chordata; Actinopteri; Stomiiformes; Gonostomatidae.
CACCGCGGUUAUACGAGAGACCCAAAUUGAUAACCUCCGGCGUAAAGCAUGAUUAAGGACAGAACUAAAUAAAGCCCAACUUAUCCCCUGCUGUUAUAAGCCUCCGGAAAAUGAAAACCCACCACGAAAGUAGCUUCAACCACACCUGAAUUCAUGAUAGCUAAGAAA